Herpailurus yagouaroundi (jaguarundi) is the source of this 526-nucleotide long non-coding RNA. RefSeq lists it as uncharacterized. The record is from RefSeq and is a predicted model, not a curated record. The transcript is spliced from 2 exons. NCBI's taxonomy places the organism in Eukaryota, Metazoa, Chordata, Mammalia, Carnivora, Felidae.
AGGCAGGCGGGGGAACUGCCCUUUAGUGGGAAGCUAACAUUUCUUUUUUUUUUUUUUUUUUUACCUUAAGCCUUACUAGCCCUUAAACGGGCUUAUGCCAUUCUGCGAAUGACUAAGCAGAGCCCAGAGGGAAGCGGCAGCUUGCUUUGAUGGAGAAACAUAUUCAAGACGUAAUUUGUGAACAUCUGCUCUGUGCCAGGCCCUGGGCUGAGUUGCUGAGGAUUCCAUGGUGAGGGAGCUGUCGCCUAUAAACCUUUGCCCGCUGACCACAGCUCCAUCCCGAAAAAUUCUGGGUGAUGAGUACAAAUACCUAGCAUCUUUAUGUUCUAGAGUUGUUACGCUUUAUUUCCUGAGUUGUUUGGGGGUCUUUGUGGACAGCCUACAAUGUAGUCACUAGGUUCAAAACGAUGUAGCUAAGCCACAUCUCCUUCCUCUCUUGCCGUGGUGUCCUCAGCACAGAGUAACUGUUCAAUAAAUGAGAGCCAUUGUUAACACAGUGAUAAAUACUAUUGUUAUUUUUACUGCU